GACUUGGCUUUUCUUUUUUUUUUUUUAAAGGGGGAAGAGAAAAGGGUGCUUCCAGAAGAGCGCCGCGGAGGCGGGAGAAAGACACGAGAGAAAAAGAAAUUCGGAGCAAAACAUGCGAGGUUGUCCCAUGCCUACCUGAGCAAUUGGAAAACACAUGCCUCUCUAACACAGUGCAACUUCUACAAUCAGAGCAACUGCUGGGUAUAAGGAACAGCACAUAGAUUUUGAAUCACAGUGUUUUACAGCUGAUCUUUAAAUGAAGCAUGUGGGGGUGGAUAAAAGAAAAGUAAAAUCAAUCUUCAGGAAGAGUGCAUUACCCCUCACAUGGAGUAUUGAUUCAGUGGAGAAUUGGAAGGAUGCUAUGGAGAGAAUUAGAGGGUCGAGGAAAACGUUGGAGACCCCUGGCUUAAAGCAUCCAGUUUGGUCACCACAAUACAACCAUUAGACAUAAGUGUAGCCUUCAUUACUAUAUUGAGCAAAUUGGACAGUCUCUCCAGAAGUAAACUACAACUCUGGCUAAAAUAUCAAUAUCUACAGCCUUGCUAUUAUGAAUACUCUUGACAGGAUUUAUUACAUCCUUUUCAUCAAUUCUUUUCUUGGACAUUAACAGUAUUUUUUCAACAUAGCAUCAUUACUAUACAAAUCUCUAAAAUUUUCCUUCCAUUCUUUCAGUUCAAUUCCAUUCAAAAUUAUAUCCUUGCUUUUAAUUAAAUUCA
Pantherophis guttatus is the source of this 716-nucleotide long non-coding RNA. RefSeq lists it as uncharacterized. NCBI's taxonomy places the organism in Eukaryota, Metazoa, Chordata, Lepidosauria, Squamata, Colubridae. The record is from RefSeq and is a predicted model, not a curated record.